ACUUGAACGAAAGAGUGCAAACAUCAAAAUUGUUGCAUCAUGAAAAUGUAGCAAUACAAGACAAGACAUCAUGAAAAUGUAGCAAUACAAAACUGUUGCAUCAUAAUUGAUAAUUGAUAUUCAGCUAUAAGAAGUCAACAGACCAAAUUUCCCACUACGAAAAUUGUGAAUUUUGUUACAGUUGAGAAAACAUGCAAGUGGUUAAAGCCUCCCAAAUAACUAAGUGUAAGCUCAUAAAAAACGAAAACUGCCAAUUUUGUUACAGUUGAGAAAAUAUGUAAGCUUAUCAAACACAAUGUCUCAAGCUCAUUUUUUUUCUCUUCCAUCUGCUUAUGCACAGCACGUAACUAAGUGGUUAAAGCUUAAAAGUAUCCAUAUCAAACAGAAUUAAAUUUCAUAUCCAGGUUCAAGUCCUGGAAACAGCCUCUUACAGAAAUGUAGGGAAAGGCUGCGUACUAUAGACCCAAAGUGGUCGGACCCUUCCCUGGACCCUGCGCAAGCGGGAGCUACAUGCACCAGGUUGCCCUUUUAUCCAGGUUUCACACUCUGAAUGCUUCCAUCAUAUCUGAUCCACUUUUACUUCUACUGAAAGUGUGCUCUAUUUUGAUGGACAUAACAAAGGUAAGAAAAUCAAAUUGUGGAACAGAUCAGUAUAGAAAAAUAUUGAACCAACUCCAAUAGUUGUUUGUUAGAAUUUAGACCAACAUAAGAGCAUCCUAGCAGAUCCAGUAAAAACGGUCAAACCUUCAGAUUUACUGUACAGGUUGGAAAAAAAACACCGAAUAGAUCCUGUAAAAUAGCAUACCCCAUAUUUUUUUACAGGUUCCCGUAUAUUAGAGCAACCAUCUGUCAUAUUUGGAGGAUUCAAACCGUUUUUUGAGGAUCCCAUAAAACCGGUCAACACUGGAGCAGGGGGCCUGGCAACGCCGCGUGCGAGCAGCGAGCAGGCGGAGGAGCUCGGCAGCGGC
Molecule: long non-coding RNA, 968 nt
Filed under: Triticum aestivum (bread wheat)
Lineage: Eukaryota; Viridiplantae; Streptophyta; Magnoliopsida; Poales; Poaceae
Description: long non-coding RNA (TAES_LNC027637)
Source: RNAcentral